This is a long non-coding RNA of Triplophysa rosa, 1581 nucleotides long. RefSeq lists it as uncharacterized. The record is from RefSeq and is a predicted model, not a curated record. The transcript has 3 exons. NCBI's taxonomy places the organism in Eukaryota, Metazoa, Chordata, Actinopteri, Cypriniformes, Nemacheilidae.
AAUGGGAGGAUCUCUGCGGAAAAUUAAGCGCAAUGUGGCCACAACUGUACCAUACACCUGGCUUUACAUCAACGAAUGACAUCAUUCCUCAAUGUUUUGAAUGUGAGAAUGAAAUGCCACAGAAUACAGUGAGAAGUCCGGCAGAACUGUGAGCAGGUUCACUGAUUAUUACCUGUUUUUCAUCAUACGGAAUUCCCUCUUGCGUAACGCCUCCUCGGACACCUGCUGAGGGCUGGGCAGAGAGCCAGGUGAGCUGCCCAUUUCCUGGGAAAGGCCAGAGAACACAAAGGAAGAUAUUCUGAAGAAAAUAAGCAACCUAACAACAUUGGCCCUCAUUGACUUCUAUUUUACAGACACUAAACCACUGAGGCGUUUCUCAAAAUAUCUCUUCAGUGUUUCACAGAAACCAUUAAAAAUGGCCGAUUUUUUUAUUUUUGGGUGAACGAUCACUUCUACAUCUGGAGAUCAUACUGAAGUCUGAUGUCUAUAAAUAUCACCAUGUAGAUAUAUGUAGGCUAUGAAUGACUGAAGGCUUUGAAUUCAUUUCCUCUGGAGGUCUGUCGACACAGCUCACUACAUCUCAAGUGUUUAUUAUGCACAUAUAUAUUGUGUUAUGGUCUCUGUGUACUGUUGUUGCUGUUUCUGUGUACUGGAUGCUCCUGUCACCAAAACAAAUUCCUUGUAUGUGCAAACAUACUUGACAAUAAAGCUCUUUCUGAUUCUGAUAUGUACAUGUGAGGUUACAAACUGGAUUACACUCCUGAUGUCCCAGUGCAACACAACACAUGUGACAACAAUGCAGUUCUGAUGAAAGCGAUGGAGGAAAACAAAGAACUUACAUAAAGAAAAUUUCAUCCUUUGAGACUUUCUAUCUUUCUUUCUUAAAUCAAUCAUCAAACAAUCAUAAUAAUAAUUCAUAAAUCGUACAAGUACACUGUAAGAUAUGCAAGUACUUUCAACAUUUCUCUGCAUGCCUUUGAUGCUUUCUUUGACGGCAGUGUAUCAAGAUGAUUAAUCUCUCGCAAAAGGAGCUGCCUGUAAUCACAGCAUGACUCUGAACUGACGUCAAUGUACAUCUUAUUCGCCGUUCAGCAUUUACAUUUCCCUGCUGGUGUCCAAUUCCAGGAAACAUGAUGACGUCAACUGCGCUGUGAGUGGGCAGCGCAUUCAAGCAUUUCAGAGAGAGAGAGAGAGAGAGAGAGAGAGAGAAAGCAAGCGAGGUGCUGCACUCAACAGGAAGGAAAAUUUCACUUGUGUGAAAAUUUCAAACUUUUAGCCUGUUGUGUACUGAGCAGAGCUUUCAUUUAACAAACAAGAGAGAACAAACACAUACGAAAAUAGUUUUCUCUGUACCAUGUCUGUUUGUGUCAAACAAAACAAAAGUCUCAAACAAAAGUCUGACAUCUGAAAUUUGACAUUUUGUCUCAACGUGUUAUCUGUCAAAUCUGUUGAAAUUAUCCAACCAAAUUCAUCAGCAAAUACGACCAAUAUCAACCACACUAUAAUAUCUCUAAGCAACCUUUAAAUAUAUUUAAAACAAGUUCAAAUUUAGUAAAAACUACAUGACAAACAAACAACAGC